This 423-nucleotide long non-coding RNA is filed under the name Brassica napus (rape). Its description in RNAcentral is "long non-coding RNA (BNAP_LNC008143)". The record is from RNAcentral. Lineage: Eukaryota; Viridiplantae; Streptophyta; Magnoliopsida; Brassicales; Brassicaceae.
UGGUAGUUUUAUAAUUAUGUAGAACUUGGGCUUCAAGUCGGUCAUGAACUAGCGACCCGUUUCUCGUGCUUUGUUGUCGAUCGAUGAUAAGUGAUGUUUAUCGAUCGACGGUUGACUCUGAAUGUCGACUCUGGCUGGUUUAUGAACAACUACGAGUUACUUCAGUCUUUAGCUCCAAAAUCACCACAUUGCUCCAAAUCAUACCUAAACCUGUAAAGACUCUAAAAAGACUUCAAAACAUAAUAAAUAGAUUUUAAAACAAUUAUAUACUAUGGCUGAAAACUAGUAAAAUCCAUGGUAUAUCAAUAGACAUCCCCAUUAGUUCUCAACCAUCCUUUUUCUAGUGAUCAUUCCUCAUCAACGCAUACAUAAUCUUGCAUCCAUGCUGGUCUCAAUUUAUUCCUUCAUGUUCUGCCUCCAUUC